Molecule: ribosomal RNA, 274 nt
Filed under: uncultured bacterium
Lineage: Bacteria
Description: partial 16S ribosomal RNA
Rfam family: Bacterial small subunit ribosomal RNA
Source: RNAcentral
AUACGGAGGGUGCAAACGUUGUUCGGAAUUACUGGGCGUAAAGCGCGCGUAGGCGGUUUGUUAAGUCAGAUGUGAAAGCCCAAGGCUCAACCUUGGACGUGCAUUUGAAACUGGCAGACUUGAGUACUGGAGGGGAUGGUGGAAUUCCCGGUGUAGAGGUGAAAUUCGUAGAUAUCGGGAGGAAUACCGGUGGCGAAGGCGACCAUCUGGCCAGAUACUGACGCUGAGGUGCGAAAGCAUGGGGAGCAAACAGGAUUAGAUACCCCAGUAGUCC